GUGGGGAGGAGAGUCACUGACUGGAGCGCUUGCCCCCUCCCUUCCCCAUCGCCCCAGCGCUCCCUCCCGCGCAGAGGAGCCCGCCCUGCUCUCCUCCUCCCGCCCGCCAAGCGCAGCCCUCCUCCUCCUCCUCCCUCCGUGCCGCCGCCGCCGCUGCCCCUGCCCCUCUUCUCCCUCCUCCCCCUGGCUCUGCUCCUCCUGCUGCUGCUGCUCAGUGCCGCUCGAGCCACACUCCCAAGCAGACGCCCGCCCGCCCGCCGGACCCGGGAGCAACAGCAGCAGGAGACGCCGCUGAGGCCCGUUACAUAUACUUGAUACCUUUGGUGGACUUUUUCCAAGAAUAUUCUUCCAUUGACCAGGACCAAGCUGCAAACCUAACAAAGACCUCAGAGAGAGAGAGAGAGAUCUGCUGUUAGCUCUGUGUUGUGAAGUUGGAUAUUAUCAAGAUUAUGGGGUGAUAAUUCUGCUGAUGUUUGUAAUUUCAUUCAUUCUUCUCUAUGUUUUGCUCUUCCUUCAUGCAAACAACCUCUAGAUUUUAGUAGAACAAACAGUACUCUCAAAGGAUCUGUUGUAUGGCCUCAAUAGAGAAUUCAUCUUCUGGAACUUUUUUUCUUUCUUUAAAAAUGUUCUUGGAUCCCAUCCUUUGUAUACAGUAUCAAGUCAGGGAUCAGCAACCUGCGGUUCUGGAGCCACAUGUGGCUCUUUUACCCCUCUGCUGCAGCUCCCUGUCACUCAAAAUAUGUUUCACAACCACCAAUGUGCGACAUCUGCCGGCACGCGAUUUAUUGAGCUUUUUAACUCCCAGUAGGCCAACCAUGGAUAAAUCCAAGAAAAGUUUCAGAAGAAAACAGAAUGUUUAAUUCAACUACAUAUGCUAGUUUUGUAGCCGCUCAAGAAAUAGUCAGGCACAGGAAGGGUUUUGUGGCUCUUGUGUUUUCUGUGGGAAAGAGGUCCAAAUGGCUCUUUGAGUGUUUAAGGUUGCAGACCUGUGGUAUAAGUGGUGAAAACUGGCUGUGGAACACCCAGGUCAUUAGAUGGCAGCAUUCUUAACUCCUUGCUGCCACUUAGAGGUUAGUCACAGAACUGCAGCCAAAUCUGGUGGAGAAGGAACAGAAGAAGGCCUGUUUAAUAACAUCCAAUAUGGAAGCCCUUAUGGCAGAGGUGUCAAAUUCACGUCGUACGACAGCAUCACGUGAUGUAUCAGGACUUUUUCCCCCUUCGCUAAAUUGGGCGUGAGCGUGGCCAGUGUGUGAUGCAUGUGGGCUGGGAGUUUGACAGCCCUGCCCUAUGGUCUUUUUCUUUCCAGCUUCUUUGCAAUAAACUCAGAACACAUGUUGAAACCAGAGGUGGGUUUCAGCAGGUUCUGACCAGUAGCAAAAAUUUCGAGUAGUUUGGAGAACCGGUAGUAAAAAUUCUGACUGGCCCCGCCCCCAUCUAUUCUCUGCCUCCCAAUUCCCAGCUGAUCAGGAGGAAAUGGUGAUUUUUGCAGUACCUUUCCCUUGGAGUGGGGUGGGAAUGGAGAUUUUAAAGCAGGGGUGUCCAAACUUGGUCCCUUUAAGACUUGUGGACUUCAAUUCCCAGAGUCCCUCAGCCAGCAAAGCUGGCUGAGGAACUCUGGGAGUUGAAGUCCACAAGUCUUAAAGGGACCAAGUUUGGACACCCCUGUUUUAAAGUAUCCUUCCCCUGCCAUGCCCACCAAGCCACACCCACCAAGCCACACCCACAGAACCGGUAGUAAAAAAAUUUGAAACACACCAAUGGUUGAAACCUAAGAUUUUAUUAAGCAGGUAAGUUGGUAACUAGCUAAUCUAAUGGCAGUUUUAUUUGGAAUUCUGUUUGUACAGUUGUUACCUUUUCUUGCAUUUCUGAAUUUCCCUCCCCCCCCCAUGUCUUUUUGUAUGCAGAGAUUUAAUUUAAUUCUUUUACUAAGUUCCUGAAUGCAAGAUGAGGCAGUUGGUUAGCUACCACUUGUGUUUAAAGAUUGGUGUUAAAUUAUUAAAAUAUAUUACUUCUGGAUUUUAGGGCUGGAUGAUCCAUAAGUGUUUCCUAUUUUUCAUAGAGGUGAGGUGAAAAAAGAAGCCCUUGGAUGGAACUCCAAAACCAUAUUUGUUUUCUGAGGUUUUCGCGGGUGUUUGUAUGUAGGUCUUUGUUUAUUCGGGUUUUCUCCCGCGUAAAAUUGGAAGUGUCUUGGUGACGUUUCGAUGGAGUCUCAUUCAUCAUCUUCAGAAGCACGAAGCUGAAGCCUGAAGAUGACGAAUGAGACUUCGUCGAAACGUCGCCAAGACACUUCCAAUUUUACGCGGGAGAAAACCCGAAUAACCAAAGAUAGAUAGAUAGAUAUAUAGAUAUAGAUAUAGAUACACACACACACACACACACACACACACACACACACACACACACACAUACACACAGCAUGUCCACCACAUAGGAAAAUUAUCCCUAUUGUUUACAGCCACUACAACAUUUUGAAGAAUGAUUAUGUAGUAUAUAUGCUAAUCUAGCAGGUGCUAAAUACCACCAAUGUAACACCUUCAAUUGCCACUCUUGCUUAGAGGAAAAAAGAAAAUAUCCUGAUUUCCCCGAUUGCCACUUUAGGCCAAUUAUUAGAUUUUCUAAAUCAGUAUUGCAAGCAUCUUUUAAACCGGAAAGACAAUUCAUAAUUUAUAAUGAUAGCAUAAUUUGACAUUAUUUAUUUAUUUAUUUAUUAUAUUUGUAUACCGCCCAUCUCCCGAAGGACUCAGGGCGGUUCACAGAAAAAAGAAAAAAAAACAUAUAAUACAUAAAAAACAGCUAAAAGAAUAGAUAGUUAAAUUCAAUUGAUGCUCUAACUUUUAAAUACAAAUUUAAAACCUCAUUUAAACCCCUUUUUUAAAAAUCCCAAUUUAAAACUACAUUCAAGCUAGUCAUUUCUUUUGGUUGUGUCAAAUAAAUGUUAAAUUCUCAAAAAUAGUACAGAUAGUCGUCAACGUAACGACCAUAAUUGGACCCAAAAUUUCCAUUGUUAAGUUGUUAAGUGAAUCACUGCCGUUCUAAAGUGAACCAUGCAAUCAUUAAGCUAAUCUGGCUUUCCCCAUUAACGUUGCCUGUCUGAAGAAGUCUAAGGAGGUUAUAAAUGGUGAUCACAUGACCUCAGGACAGUGCAACUGUCAUAAAUACGUUCAACUUAUCAGAGGCCUUAAUUUUGAUCACAUGACCAUGGGGAUGCUGUAACAGUCGUAAGUGUAAAAACCAGUCAUAUGUCACUUUUUUCAGUGCCAUUGUAACUUUGAGCAGCCACUAAACAAAUGGUUGUAAGUCGGACUACCUGUAUAUGAGCAAGUUCUUGUCUUCACCUAAUAUAGCAUUAAGCUCUUGUCAGAAAAAGCAAUAUAACUGUCAGAAAGCCCAGUCUCUAUUUCAUGGCCCAAAAUUGGUAUAAAAAUAAUCCUGUAAAAGUUAUAAUUCUUCAAAAAAUUUAAUUGAUCUGACCCAUAUUAAAGUUUUGUAAACAGAACAGAAUAGAAUAGAAUAGAAUAGAAUAGAAUAGAAUAGAAUAGAAUAGAAUAGAAUAGAAUAGAAUAGUAAUUUUUAUUGGCCAAGUGUGAUUGGACACACAAGGAAUUUGUCUUGAUGCAUAUGCUCUCAGUGUACAUAAAAGAAAAGAUACGUUCAUCAACAAUUCUAAGGUACAACACUUAAUGAUAGUCAUAGGGUACAAAUAAGCAAUCAGGAAACAAUAUCAAUAUAAAUCGUAAGGAUACAAGCAACAAAGUUACAGUCAUACAGUCAUAAGUGGAAGGAGAUGGGUGGUGGAAACGAUGAGAAGAUUAAUAGUAAUGCAGAUUUAGUAAAUCGUUUGACAGUGUUGAGGGAAUUAUUUGUUUAGCAGAGAUGGCGUUUGACAGUGUUGAGGGAAUUAUUUGUUUAGCAGAGAUGGCGUUCGGAAAAAAAACUGUUCUUGUGUCUGGUUGUUCUGGUGUGCUCUAUAGCAUUGUUUUGAGGGUAGGAGUUGAAAAAGUUUAUGUCCAGGAUGUCACAGCCCUCUUUUUGACUUGUGCAGUAUACAGGUCCUCAAUGGAAAGCAGGUUGGUAGCAAUUGUUUUUUCUGCAGUUUGUUUUUUAAACAGUCAUUAAAAGGUUUAGAGGAAAAUGCCACCCAUUGUUUUCAAAAUUUGAAAUAUUGUGCCAGUAAAAUAUUAUUAAUUUUG
Ahaetulla prasina is the source of this 4190-nucleotide long non-coding RNA. RefSeq lists it as uncharacterized. The transcript has 2 exons. Lineage: Eukaryota; Metazoa; Chordata; Lepidosauria; Squamata; Colubridae. The record is from RefSeq and is a predicted model, not a curated record.